CAGCAUUUACGGCUAUGAAUGAGAGAUUUGAGCGAGGAGGAUUUGGUACAGUGCCAUAACGUGUAGAUUUGCUAUAUCUCAAUCCUACACAACUGAUCUGAAGACUCAGGGAGAGGAAGGAGGAGCUGGACCAGUGUGAGAAUCGGACCAUCAGCAUCACAAAAGCAUAUGGUAUCGUGGCAUAUAAUUGAUAUGGCUUUGGAAAGACGACGCCAUCAUGGUCUUCAAGAUCUGCCCAUGUGCAAUUGGCAGGCAUCCAUAAGUUCUCCCACCAGAACCAGCUGUUGAGUGUCUUUA
Molecule: long non-coding RNA, 297 nt
Organism: Mauremys mutica (yellowpond turtle)
Lineage: Eukaryota; Metazoa; Chordata; Testudines; Geoemydidae
Exons: 3
Source: RefSeq, a predicted model, not a curated record